This is a small nucleolar RNA of Pseudoliparis swirei, 84 nucleotides long. RefSeq annotates it as small nucleolar RNA SNORD11B. The record is from RefSeq and is a predicted model, not a curated record. NCBI's taxonomy places the organism in Eukaryota, Metazoa, Chordata, Actinopteri, Perciformes, Liparidae. The transcript has a single exon.
ACCAAGCAGUGAUGAUAACGACCUGAUGUCGCUUUCCUGAUUUAAAACUGAUGCUUUUAAGUCACUACCUCAUCUGAGCUUUGG